RNAcentral lists this transfer RNA (71 nucleotides) under Marmota monax (woodchuck). RNAcentral's name for it is "tRNA.Ala". The record is from RNAcentral. Lineage: Eukaryota; Metazoa; Chordata; Mammalia; Rodentia; Sciuridae.
GGGGUUGUGGCACAGUGGUAGAGCGUGCGCCCAGCAUGUGCAAGGCGCUGGGUUCGAUCCUCAGCACCACA